Molecule: ribosomal RNA, 190 nt
Filed under: uncultured bacterium
Lineage: Bacteria
Description: partial 16S ribosomal RNA
Rfam family: Bacterial small subunit ribosomal RNA
Source: RNAcentral
AAGUCAGAAGUGAAAGCCCGGGGCUUAACCUCGGGACUGCUUUUGAAACUGUGUAGCUAGAGUGCAGGAGAGGUAAGUGGAAUUCCUAGUGUAGCGGUGAAAUGCGUAGAUAUUAGGAGGAACACCGGUGGCGAAGGCGGCUUACUGGACUGUAACUGACACUGAGGCUCGAAAGCGUGGGGAGCAAACA